GCCUGGGUAGCUCAGACGGUAGAGCAUCAGACUCUUAAUCUGAGGGUCCAGAGUUCAAGUCCCUGUUCAGGUGGUUCCA
This 79-nucleotide transfer RNA is filed under the name Merluccius polli (Benguela hake). Its description in RNAcentral is "tRNA-Lys". It matches the Rfam family "tRNA". From Rfam's summary of the family: Transfer RNA (tRNA) molecules are approximately 80 nucleotides in length. Their secondary structure includes four short double-helical elements and three loops (D, anti-codon, and T loops). Further hydrogen bonds mediate the characteristic L-shaped molecular structure. tRNAs have two regions of fundamental functional importance: the anti-codon, which is responsible for specific mRNA codon recognition, and the 3' end, to which the tRNAs corresponding amino acid is attached (by aminoacyl-tRNA synthetases). tRNAs cope with the degeneracy of the genetic code in two manners: having more than one tRNA (with a specific anti-codon) for a particular amino acid; and 'wobble' base-pairing, i.e. permitting non-standard base-pairing at the 3rd anti-codon position. The record is from RNAcentral. Lineage: Eukaryota; Metazoa; Chordata; Actinopteri; Gadiformes; Merlucciidae.